Molecule: ribosomal RNA, 492 nt
Filed under: uncultured bacterium
Lineage: Bacteria
Description: partial 16S ribosomal RNA
Rfam family: Bacterial small subunit ribosomal RNA
Source: RNAcentral
AGUGAACGCUGGCGGUAGGCCUAACACAUGCAAGUCGAACGGCAGCACAGUAAGAGCUUGCUCUUACGGGUGGCGAGUGGCGGACGGGUGAGGAAUACAUCGGAAUCUACUUUUUCGUGGGGGAUAACGUAGGGAAACUUACGCUAAUACCGCAUACGACCUACGGGUGAAAGCAGGGGAUCUUCGGACCUUGCGCGAUUGAAUGAGCCGAUGUCGGAUUAGCUAGUUGGCGGGGUAAAGGCCCACCAAGGCGACGAUCCGUAGCUGGUCUGAGAGGAUGAUCAGCCACACUGGAACUGAGACACGGUCCAGACUCCUAAGGGAGGCAGCAGUGGGGAAUAUUAGACAAUGGGCGCAAGCCUGAUCCAGCCAUACCGCGUGGGUGAAGAAGGCCUUCCGGUUGUAAAGCCCUUUUGUUGGGAAAGAAAAGCAGCAGGUUAAUACCCCGCUGUUCUGACGGUACCCAAAGAAUAAGCACCGGCUAACUUCGUG